This 375-nucleotide ribosomal RNA is filed under the name uncultured bacterium. RNAcentral's name for it is "bacterial SSU rRNA". It matches the Rfam family "Bacterial small subunit ribosomal RNA", at positions 28 to 412 of the family's 1533-position model. The record is from RNAcentral.
GACGAACGCUGGCGGCGUGCUUAACACAUGCAAGUCAGGGGGCGGAGCAAUCCGUCACCGGCGAACGGGUGCGUAACACGUGAGCGACCUGCCCAUGGAUGGGGGAUAGCCGGCCCAACGGCCGGGUAAUACCGCAUACGACGCCGGCUUCAGCGCCGGACGUGAAAGCCCGCAAGGGCGUCCGUGGAGGGGCUCGCGGCCUAUCAGCUAGUUGGUGCGGUAACGGCGCACCAAGGCGAUGACGGGUAGCUGGUCUGAGAAGAUGGCCAGCCACAUUGGGACUGAGAGACGGCCCAGACUCCUACGGGAGGCAGCAGCAAGGAAUUUUCCCCAAUGGCCGAAAGGCUGAGGGAGCAACGUCGCGUGCAGGACGAC